GACAGAGGGUGCAAGCGUUGUUCGGAAUUACUGGGCAUAAAGCGCACGUAGGCGGUUCGCUAAGUCUGUCGUGAAAUCCCCCGGCUCAACCGGGGAAUAGCGUCGGAUACUGGCGAGCUCGAGGUCGAUAGGGGUAAGUGGAACUCCAGGUGGAGCGGUGAAAUGCGUAGAUAUCUGGAGGAACACCGGUGGCGAAAGCGACAUCCUGGACCAACACUGACGCUGAGUGAGCGAAAGCCAGGGGAGCAAACGGG
RNAcentral lists this ribosomal RNA (254 nucleotides) under uncultured bacterium. RNAcentral describes it as "partial 16S ribosomal RNA". It matches the Rfam family "Bacterial small subunit ribosomal RNA", at positions 524 to 776 of the family's 1533-position model. The record is from RNAcentral.